GAAAGGGAGAGUAACGCGUGGACUACCUACCCCCGGGCCCGGGAUAGCGAGGCCUGCUUCGGCAGGUUCCCGAAAGGCUCGGUAAUACCGGAUAACGUCUCCGGACCAAAGGUGUGAUUCCGCCUGGGGACGGGUCCGCGUCCUAUUAGCUUGUUGGUGGGGUAACGGCCUACCAAGGCUGCGAUGGGUACCGGGCGUGAGAGCGUGGCCCGGCUCACUGGGACUGAGACACUGCCCAGACACCUACGGGUGGCUGCAGUCGAGAAUCUUCGGCAAUGGACGAAAGUCUGACCGAGCGACGCCGCGUGCGGGAUGAAGGCCCUCGGGUUGUAAACCGCUGUCAGUUGGGAGGAAAUCCAGCAGGGUCAUCCCUGCUGGUUGACCUAUCUUCAGAGGAAGGACGGGCUAAGUUCGUGCCAGCAGCCGCGGUAACACGAACCGUCCUAACGUUAUUCGGAAUUACUGGGCUUAAAGGGUGCGUAGGCGGCCCUGCAAGUUGGGUGUGAAAGCCCUCGGCUCAACCGAGGAAUUGCGCCCAAAACUGCAGGGCUAGAGGGAGACAGAGGUGAGCGGAACAUGCGGUGGAGCGGUGAAAUGCGUUGAUAUCGC
RNAcentral lists this ribosomal RNA (609 nucleotides) under uncultured bacterium. RNAcentral's name for it is "bacterial SSU rRNA". It matches the Rfam family "Bacterial small subunit ribosomal RNA", at positions 100 to 700 of the family's 1533-position model. The record is from RNAcentral.